UGGAAAGCUGUCUGUGCUACUUGCUAAUAGCCCAGCCUAUACUAGUUGCUUAUACUUACAGUUACAGCUUAGUGAUUGAACUGAACAAAUAAAAACAUAAACUUGAAAUCUGAAACUGAAAGUCUUAAACUCUUUAGAGAGUAGAGACUAAUGAGAAAUGGCGUCAAAAAAGCAAACAGCUUCUCCAAGUUUACAAAGUCA
This is a long non-coding RNA of Daphnia magna, 201 nucleotides long. RefSeq lists it as uncharacterized. Lineage: Eukaryota; Metazoa; Arthropoda; Branchiopoda; Diplostraca; Daphniidae. The transcript is spliced from 2 exons. The record is from RefSeq and is a predicted model, not a curated record.